RNAcentral lists this long non-coding RNA (1043 nucleotides) under Cricetulus griseus (Chinese hamster). Its description in RNAcentral is "lncRNA (ENSCGRG00015033010.1)". The record is from RNAcentral. Lineage: Eukaryota; Metazoa; Chordata; Mammalia; Rodentia; Cricetidae.
CCUUUGUCCCACAGUUAUGCAUCUUGAAAUUGAUUCUAAGGAAGGGAUUAGGACUUAUAAACAGAUGUAGGAAGGUAUAACUGGGAAGACAGCCCCCUACAUUACAGGCCUUGCUAUGCAGGCCAGGCUGGACUGCUUCCUGGGCUCCAAGAUCGCAGUUGUAUAUAGUCAUGUCUGAAGAGGGUAUCAGAUCCUCUGAAACUAGAGUUGUAGAUGGUGGUGAGCUGCCUUGUGGGUGCUGGGAAUCAAACCCCGGGUCCCAGUGAGAUAAAAGUUCUCUAGGCAGCAGGAGGGGGACCAGGCUGGGGGGAGCAGAUGUGGACUUCUGCUCCGUAAGGAAGAGAGAGGUAGGCCCUGACCCUGAUGACAUCAGGCUGAAACUGUGAUUCCUGCUGCUCCUUAGAAGACACUGUUUUCUUAUUUUGCACAAGGGAACAGGACUUUUAUUAGCUGUGGCUCAGGCAUUGUGCCAACAUGGGAACUAGUCCUUGGUAUGCGCAGUCCUAACUGAUCUUAGAUAAUUGUGGCAGACAUGGAAUCACCCUCAGGUUUGUAAACUUAAAAAAAGUCAGGAGAAUCUACCCUUCUUUCCAUGCCCUUUUGUUUUCAGUGCUGGGCUAAAACCCAGGGUCUAAAGCAUGCUAAACCUGUGCUCUACCAGUAAGCUAUACCCUCAGCUCUAGAACCCCUUUUUAUCUUGGUUAGCGCAGAACUCCUCAAAUAUGGAACCAUAAUGCUCAGAGCAUGCAGUGCACACCCUCACCCAGGCCAGGGAUUUCCUGACUUAAGAGGAAAUUAUCAUUAUUAUGUGUAUGUUUGUAACGGGGGUGGGGGGUCAUGUGCACCAUGGUGUAAACGUGGAGGUUAGAGGAUAACUUUUGGGAGUUAACUCUACCGCCAUCUUGGGUUCCAGGGAUCAAAUUUAGAUCAUCAGGCUUGUGCAGCAAGUAUCUUUACCCACUGAACCAUGUCACUGGCCCAAGUUCCUGAUUUCUAAAUUAAAUGUGCAUGCAUGUAUGUAAUGUGCGGGGCACAUGUGGGGG